RNAcentral lists this ribosomal RNA (1458 nucleotides) under Klebsiella aerogenes UCI 47. RNAcentral describes it as "bacterial SSU rRNA". It matches the Rfam family "Bacterial small subunit ribosomal RNA". The record is from RNAcentral. Lineage: Bacteria; Pseudomonadati; Pseudomonadota; Gammaproteobacteria; Enterobacterales; Enterobacteriaceae.
AGAGCUUGCUCUCGGGUGACGAGCGGCGGACGGGUGAGUAAUGUCUGGGAAACUGCCUGAUGGAGGGGGAUAACUACUGGAAACGGUAGCUAAUACCGCAUAACGUCGCAAGACCAAAGUGGGGGACCUUCGGGCCUCAUGCCAUCAGAUGUGCCCAGAUGGGAUUAGCUAGUAGGUGGGGUAAUGGCUCACCUAGGCGACGAUCCCUAGCUGGUCUGAGAGGAUGACCAGCCACACUGGAACUGAGACACGGUCCAGACUCCUACGGGAGGCAGCAGUGGGGAAUAUUGCACAAUGGGCGCAAGCCUGAUGCAGCCAUGCCGCGUGUAUGAAGAAGGCCUUCGGGUUGUAAAGUACUUUCAGCGAGGAGGAAGGCAUUAAGGUUAAUAACCUUGGUGAUUGACGUUACUCGCAGAAGAAGCACCGGCUAACUCCGUGCCAGCAGCCGCGGUAAUACGGAGGGUGCAAGCGUUAAUCGGAAUUACUGGGCGUAAAGCGCACGCAGGCGGUCUGUCAAGUCGGAUGUGAAAUCCCCGGGCUCAACCUGGGAACUGCAUUCGAAACUGGCAGGCUAGAGUCUUGUAGAGGGGGGUAGAAUUCCAGGUGUAGCGGUGAAAUGCGUAGAGAUCUGGAGGAAUACCGGUGGCGAAGGCGGCCCCCUGGACAAAGACUGACGCUCAGGUGCGAAAGCGUGGGGAGCAAACAGGAUUAGAUACCCUGGUAGUCCACGCCGUAAACGAUGUCGACUUGGAGGUUGUGCCCUUGAGGCGUGGCUUCCGGAGCUAACGCGUUAAGUCGACCGCCUGGGGAGUACGGCCGCAAGGUUAAAACUCAAAUGAAUUGACGGGGGCCCGCACAAGCGGUGGAGCAUGUGGUUUAAUUCGAUGCAACGCGAAGAACCUUACCUACUCUUGACAUCCAGAGAACUUAGCAGAGAUGCUUUGGUGCCUUCGGGAACUCUGAGACAGGUGCUGCAUGGCUGUCGUCAGCUCGUGUUGUGAAAUGUUGGGUUAAGUCCCGCAACGAGCGCAACCCUUAUCCUUUGUUGCCAGCGGUUCGGUCGGGAACUCAAAGGAGACUGCCAGUGAUAAACUGGAGGAAGGUGGGGAUGACGUCAAGUCAUCAUGGCCCUUACGAGUAGGGCUACACACGUGCUACAAUGGCAUAUACAAAGAGAAGCGACCUCGCGAGAGCAAGCGGACCUCAUAAAGUAUGUCGUAGUCCGGAUUGGAGUCUGCAACUCGACUCCAUGAAGUCGGAAUCGCUAGUAAUCGUAGAUCAGAAUGCUACGGUGAAUACGUUCCCGGGCCUUGUACACACCGCCCGUCACACCAUGGGAGUGGGUUGCAAAAGAAGUAGGUAGCUUAACCUUCGGGAGGGCGCUUACCACUUUGUGAUUCAUGACUGGGGUGAAGUCGUAACAAGGUAACCGUAGGGGAACCUGCGGUUGGAUCACCU